GGCGUUUGUUGGUGUGGGAGGAGGAGAUGUUGGGGGAGUGUCAGUCUUUACUUCUUGACAUUUCUUUGCAGGAUCAGGCUAUUGACAGGUGGCAGUGGAGUCUUGACCCUGACACAGGUUAUACGGUUGGGGGAGUUUAUCAGCAUCUGACGUCUCAGGAUUCAGUUACUUUGGAUGAUGCGGAUAACCUUAUUUGGCAUUCUCAGGUUCCUUUGAAGGUUUCCAUCUUUGCUUGGCGUUUAUUGCGGGACAGGUUGCCUACGAGAGCAAACCUGGUUACUCGUGGCGUUUUGUCUACUACGGGUGCCACUUGUGUUUUCGGAUGUGGAGUGACUGAGACGGCUCAUCAUUUAUUUCUCUCAUGUAGUAUUUCUGGAUCGCUUUGGGAUUUAGUUCGCGCCUGGAUUGGUAUUUCUUUUGUGGAUUCCACCUCUCUGCGUGAUCAUUUUGUCCAGUUUACGGCAUCAUCAGGUGGUUCUCGUGCGAGACGGUCCUUUCUGCAGCUUGUGUGGCUCGCUUGUGUUUGGGUGAUAUGGACAGAGAGAAAUCAUCGGUUGUUCAAAGGCUCAAUAGGCACACCUCAAAUUUUAUUAGACAAGAUCAAGCUUUUCUCUUUCAGGUGGUUGAAGACGACGAACAUCACGUUAGCUUUAAACUACCAUAGCUAGUGGUCUAGUCCAUUGUUGUGUUUGGGCCUUGUAUGAUUUUACUUUGAUUUUACUUUGAUUGUAUCUCUCUGACUCUUAUGUAUUUUUUAUAGUCUACCUCGGUACGCCUUGUGCUGGAGAGGCUGUUAGUGUUAAUAUAUAUCAUUUUGGCUUCUUCAAAAAAAAAAAGACAUGUCUUUUUUUUCUUCUUUUCACUGACUUUUUUUUUUCUUCUUUUC
RNAcentral lists this long non-coding RNA (886 nucleotides) under Trifolium pratense (red clover). Its description in RNAcentral is "long non-coding RNA (TPRA_LNC007834)". The record is from RNAcentral. Lineage: Eukaryota; Viridiplantae; Streptophyta; Magnoliopsida; Fabales; Fabaceae.